Long non-coding RNA from Mercenaria mercenaria, 6004 nucleotides. RefSeq lists it as uncharacterized. The record is from RefSeq and is a predicted model, not a curated record. The transcript has 3 exons. Lineage: Eukaryota; Metazoa; Mollusca; Bivalvia; Venerida; Veneridae.
UUUAAAGUGCACUAACAGAUGCAUUAUGAGGUGCAACAUCAUCACGCAAAACUGCGGCUUAACUGAAACAGAUACUAUUUGUAAACAAUUAUAAAUAUUUCAAUGAUUUAAUGAGUAAUCUGGCUAGAUGCAGUAUAAAAACCUAAAUAAUCCUAGGCAUUCUUUAGACUUUGCUUGUAAAAAUAACAGCGUGCUAUAACUGAAGUAUAACCUCGUUCAAGGACAUCUUGGUUUUAUUUUCUGUGCCAAAAUAUUCUUUGAUUAAUCUUGUGCAUAGAAGCGGACUGCUUGGUUCUGGUAUUAAUUAUACUCUUUGGAUUAUUUUCUUCUUUGAAAAUUAAGGAGAUGAAGCUGUGUGUUCUAGCAACCUUGCUGACUAUUCUGCUGAUCAGUCUGGAUUAUUCAGACGCACGGCGCGGUCCCCGUCUGUGUAAGAAAGACAACUAUGGAGUUUGUGUCGACAACGAUUUCAGCGGAUUCAGGGGAAGGAAUGGCUUCCGCGGAAGAUUUAGACCGUGUUCUGAAGCGAGGUCAGGACAUUUCUGCCAAAAUGUCGGCAGGGGGUGCCGUUGCAAAUUACCGAGGGGAAACAUAUUUGCUUCGAUAGGGCAGACCGGAUGAAGAGGAAAAUAUGAUAAGACAAAGCGUAAAUUGACCGCAGUGUUGUGCGUUGCUUGAUUUGUAAAUUGUAUUAUAUUUUAUAGUUAAACUAUACAUAAGUAACUGUAGAUGCUAACGAAACUGCACGGAGCUUAUCACAGUGACAACAAACGGAAUACACUUUCAAACUUUAUGGAGUUUAAAUUUUUAUAGUUCUUGACAAGAAUAGUAUUAGCAUUAGCACAUGUAUCAAUUAUAUGUAUAUAGUGAUGAUAUUUGGGAGAGUUAAAAUGCGAUCGUGCAAAAUGGCAUUCAUGGGUCAAAGUAAUUUUUAAUAUUUAAGUUGGACAUUAAACCAGUGGUCUUUGAAGGCGAUGAUCUCUGUUCACAGGUGACAUUUAGCACAGAUUUUAGAAUAGUCAGUUACCACAUUAAAUUACGUGAAAUUUAUUUUCUUUUGCCCAAUAAACGCAACUUCUUUGUUGUGUUAGAUUCAAUGUUGUUUUCAGUUGUACAAUUUGUAUCCCAGGAGUCAUUAUUUAUCAGGCCGAUAUAGGACCGAUUUCAGCAUCAGUCCGAUAGCGCAAUGUUUUCUGGUACAAUACUAGUGAUCAGCUAAUCUCAUGAUGACCAUGCAUCUCUCACAGUAUAUAAUUAAUGUGUUCCCAACAGUAACUUUUGGGCUAACAGUGUUUUUGAUUACAAUAUACGAUCUUCAAUUCAAAUAACCAGUGUUCCUGUAUUUUACAGUAACUAGUUCUUCUUAAAUAACUGACCGCGAUGUGUUCCUUUCAUGGGCAGAGUGCGUUCCUGACAGUUAUAUCGUAACUUUCCUUACAUACUGUAUUCAGUUGUUAUGUUAUUGUUUUUUUCAUUUCAUAAUGGAGAACAAUUAACCUUAUAAGCUGACUAUUAAGGAACUAAUUCAUACUCUAUGAAUAAAUAAUUUUAGUCAAUAAGAUAAUAUCUCGUCGACUAUCCCUACUAUAAGCUCAGUCCAGAAAUUCAUGUCUAUGUUCUUUUGUUGUAUUAUUUAUUUCUUACGGCAGAAACAAUACAAAGACAAAGUUAUGUUUCCCUGUAAAGAACAAAUUUUACAUAUGUGCGGUAUUAAUGGCUUCAUGCUCUGCACACAUAUUAACAUUUUAGCACUGGGCUAAUAUUUUAGUUCCUUGAUCCAAACAAAUAAAUAAAUAACAAAGCGGUCGUUUUAUAAACAUAACUUGAUAUUCGACAUUAACUUUUUAAUAAUCAUUUUCUACUGUAACUUGAUAGUCAGACAUUAUGCAAAAUAAACUACAUAAAUUAUAUCUGAUCUCGUGUAUACAUAAUUUACUCGGAUAUCUAGAGAGUUAGAUAUCAAUUCAUCAGAAGUUUAACCCAAAACGGAAAACUCCAUUGAAGUCGUUCUUACGAUAAAUUCAAAAAAGAGCAUUUGCCAGUCCUGGAGAUGUAGCUUGUGAACGGUAUUGUCAUAUACUGAAAGAAAGAACAAGAGACCGAUUAUCAAUAGAAAACAUUGUUGCAGAAAAUGCGGCUCAAACUGACUGUCACACACGUUGAACUGAAUCUUACCUUACAAUUUAGAUAAACUAAAAUACAAGUAGAAAUUGAAGCUAUGUAUAAACAAGAGAGUCAUGAUGACCCUGAAUCGCUCACUUGAGUGAUAUGAGCCACAUGUUUCAAACGGCAAACUAAUGCUAUAAUAUUAAGAAAGUAGGUCAGUAGGUCACAUUCAUGGUCACUGAAAGUCAGUUUUAAGAGCGGUGUGCAAAACUGUACAUGUCCUCCAAAUUUCAAGGCUGGAUCUUAAGAAAGACAAGAAAGUAGGUCAGUAGGUCAAGGUCACAGUCAAGUGACCCCUAAUCACUUGGGGUCAUCAGGUAAUUAUAAUUAAACAGUCUAGGAAAUAUGAUCUGAUAAUUUUUGAGUAUUUUUCCUAUAUAACUCAUAUAACAAGUGACCCCGGGGCUGGGCCUCUUUUCACACCAGGGGCAUAGUUUGAACAAUCUUGUUAGAGAUCUACUAGGCAAUGCUACAUACCAAGUAUCAAAAGCCUAGGCCUCGAACUUUCAGACAAGAAGAUUUUUUUCUAUAUAAGUCUAUGUUAAACUUUGGACCGCCAGGGCAGGGCCUCUUUUCACCCCAGGGGUAUAGUUUGAAUAAUCUUAGUAGUGGAACACUAGGCAAGGCAACAUUACGACUAUCAGAAGCAUACGCCUUGCAGUUUCAGGUAAGAAGAUUUUUAAAGUUUUUCCCCCUAUAUAUUGAAUCUAAAACUUGAGACCCCCCCCCCCCCCCCCCCCCCCCCCCCGGCUCGGGUCAGGGCCUCUUUUUUCAUCCCAGAGGCAUAAUUUGGUAGCGGACCACAAGGCAAUGCAACGUACCAAAUAUCAAAAGCAUAGGCCUCGCAGUUUCAGACAAGAAGAUUUUUAAAGUUUUUUUCCUAUAUAAGUCUAUGUAAAACUUGUGACCCCCGAGGCGGAGGCGGGGGCUCUGUUCAUCCCAGGGUAAUAAUUUGAACAAUCUUGGUAAAGGCCCAGGAGGCAAUGCUACAUACCAAAUAUCAAAGGCCUAGGUCUUGUGGUUUCAGACAAGAAGAGUGUCAAAGUUUUUCCUAUAUAAGACUAUGUAAAACUUGUGACCCCCGAGGCGGAGGCGGGGACUCUUUCCACCCCAGAUGCAAAAUUUGAACAAUCUUCAUAGAGGACCAUUAGACAAUGCCAAAUACUAAAUAUCUAAGCUCUAGUUCUUCAGGUUUCAGAGAAGAAGAUUUUUGAAAUUUACAAUACAACCAUAUAGGGAAAAUAAGCCCCGCCCCCUUGCAGCCAUGUUUUUUUACCAAAAAUAGAACGGCUUAAGCAAUUUUGGUAUAGGGUCACCUAGAGAUCAUUUCUACAAAGUAUUUUUGAAAUCCGGCUAACAGUUUCUGACAAGAAGAUUUUUUAUAGAACCACAGUUCUAAAUGGAUUUUAAUUCUUUGGGCAUUUUUGAUAGGGAGCCACCCCAGGAUCAUUUCUGUGAAGUUUAGUGUAAAUCUGCCCAGUGGUUUUGAAGCAGAAGAUUUUUGAAAUUGACAAAAUAGCCACAUAGGGAAAAUAAGCCCCGUCCCCUGACGGCCAUGUUUUUUUUACCGAAACAGAACGGCUUAGGCAAUUUUGGUAGAGGGUCACCUAGAGAUCAUUUCAACAAAAUAUUUUUCAAAUCUGGCUAACAGUUUCUGACAAGAAGAUUUUAAAAGAUUUUCCUUUCGGUUGGCAUGGCAACGAAAGUUCUGCAUGGAUUUCAAUUCUUUUAGCAAUUUUGAAAGGGGGGCACCUAAGGAUCAUUCCUGUGAAGUUUGGUGUAAAUCUGCCCCGUGGUUUUGAAGAAGAGUUUUUUAAAAAUUGUUGACACACGACGCACGAUGCACGACGCACGACGGACGACUGACAUCGAGCGGUCACAAAAGCUCACCUUGAGCCUUUGGCUCAGGUGAGCUAAAAGUCGCCAAAAUUUACAAAUAAAAUACCUUUUUAUAAGACAUAUAAUUUAUAUUUUUUCUUCAAAACAAUGAAACGUUUAGAAAGUUAUAAACAUACUUUUGUAAUGAUUAGCCAGCAAUACACGCAAAAAUCAGAAAGUCAGAUACAACUGAAGUUUUUGUGAUGUUUAUCAGUUAAUUGUAUUGUUAAAUAGGUCGAGUAGAAAUGUCAAGUAUCGUUCAAAUAGCUCUAGUUAUUUAUCCGGCUUUGGGGAUAGCGGUGUAAUCAACCACAAGAUAAGUACUAGUAUUGGCUAACUAAAGAGUAAUCACUCGCAAGAGACAAGGAAAUAUUGAAUUAUCGAAUUGUAACACACCGCCCCCCCCCCCCCCCCCCCCCCCCCCCCCCCCCCCCCCCCCCGCGAUUAAAUCUCCCGUCCAACAUGUAGAUAUUGGCUUACCAAUGCAAGGUGUAAUCCCAUCAUGGAAAUUGUAAAUACUGACUUAAUAAAUUGCAAUCAACCCCCAUGAAACAAGUAACUAUUGCGUUAUUGAAAUGUAAGCAGCACUACCCCAAGAAACAGUCGGAAGAUAUUAGCUAUUAGCUUAUUGAAGGGUAAUCACCACCAAGACACAGGCAGACGAUAUUAACUUUUUGAAGUGUAAUCACCGCCAAGAAACAGGCAGAAGAUAUCAGCUUAUUGAAGGGUACCCCCCCCCCCCCCCCACCAAGAAACAGAUGUAUAUAUUGGCGUAUCUAUAUAAGUGUGUUCAACCAAAGAAAAUACAGAGAAACUGUAAUCAAUCCCCAAGAAACAAUUAAAUACACAUUUUUUUGUGUAAUUACUCUUUAGAUACACCUAUUUACUGCUUUAUCAUAGUGUAUUCGUCCCAACGAAACACGUAAAUAAGAUCUUAGUGAAAUACGAAACACAACGUCACACGUACCUUAUCUAAGUGUAAACACUUAAAAGAAAUUUUACCAAACAUACUAACAGGCACGUAUACUACCAUAUCAACGUGAAAUAGUAAUUACACGUGACUUAUUAAAAUCACUUAUAUAUUGUCAUUUUUCUAACUUGUAAACAUUAUUAUCAAAGCAUAGUGUGGUAUUGGAGAAAUGUCAAACAUUUGCAUAAUUUCAUAUUAAAUCGACAUAGAGACAAGGCAAUCUAUAAUUUUUCUAUGAAUAUUCAUGAAAAUUACGAAGACGGAUAGACAUUAUACAGUUUAGAAACCCAUAAGUGUAGUUCUUGGAUUAUUGUAUAACUUGCUAUUUAGUAUCCAGGAUUAUUCCAUUGUAUAAGACAACCUCGUUUUGAACUGACGCAAUUUUCGUAUUUUGGAGUUAUACUGAAACGGAAAGAGAAGAUGAGACUGGCUGUUCUGGCAAUCUUGUUGGCUGUUCUAUUGAUCAAUCUUGAUCACGCGGACGCUUAUCGGCGUCGCAUAUCGUUGUGCAGGAAAAACAAUGGCGUAUGUGUUGACAAUAACACACGCGGCCAACGAGGUAGAAUCUUUGCGUGUUCAGAAAUCAAAUCUGGCCAUUCUUGCCAACCAGUUGGACACGGAUGUCGAUGCAAGCCAGUUUAUGAUGAUGGCAAUAUAUUUGCAGGCGAGGGGGACUCGGACCUAGUAGACAAUUGAUUUACUACAGUGAUUAAAUAUUUUUAGACAUACAGAGCAGGAUCUUCCUCUAACUACAUUUAAUAGGUUACCAUGGAAAUGAACAGUCAGUGGUGAACAGGGACAUAAGGAAGUGGAAGUUCACAAUGACCUAUUGUGCUUACAUGGUGGUAAUACAGCUUGAAGCAUCCAGCGAAUGAAACAUCUCGCCUGAUUAAAGAUAUUAAGACAAAUGUAAAAUUUGAAUAAUGUAUGAAAUAUUGUUUUAUUCUUAUUCUUUUUUAUUAUUAAAAAUGUUUAUUGGAGAAAAUUAAA